AGGCGGUGCUUGCACCAACUGAUUUAAAAAUAAACGAGUGGCGGACGGGUGAGUAACACGUGGGUAACCUACCCUAAAGUGGGGGAUAACAUUUGGAAACAGAUGCUAAUACCGCAUAAUAUUAAAAACCACAUGGUUUUUAAUUGAAAGACGGCGUAAGCUGUCACUUUUGGAUGGACCCGCGGCGUAUUAGCUAGUUGGUGAGGUAACGGCUCACCAAGGCGAUGAUACGUAGCCGACCUGAGAGGGUGAUCGGCCACAUUGGGACUGAGACACGGCCCAAACUCCUACGGGAGGCAGCAGUAGGGAAUCUUCCACAAUGGACGAAAGUCUGAUGGAGCAACGCCGCGUGAGUGAAGAAGGUUUUCGGAUCGUAAAACUCUGUUAUUGGAGAAGAACGUAUUUGGUAGUAACUGGCCAGAUAGUGACGGUAUCCAAUCAGAAAGCCACGGCUAACUACGUGCCAGCAGCCGCGGUAAUACGUAGGUGGCAAGCGUUGUCCGGAUUUAUUGGGCGUAAAGCGAGUGCAGGCGGUUUUUUAAGUCUGAUGUGAAAGCCUUCGGCUUAACCGAAGAAAUGCAUUGGAAACUGGGAAACUUGAGUGCAGAAGAGGAGAGUGGAACUCCAUGUGUAGCGGUGAAAUGCGUAGAUAUAUGGAAGAACACCAGUGGCGAAGGCGGCUCUCUGGUCUGUAACUGACGCUGAGGCUCGAAAGCGUGGGUAGCAAACAGGAUUAGAUACCCUGGUAGUCCACGCCGUAAACGAUGAGUGCUAAGUGUUGGAGGGUUUCCGCCCUUCAGUGCUGCAGCUAACGCAUUAAGCACUCCGCCUGGGGGAGUACGACCGCAAGGUUGAAACUCAAAAGGAAUUGACGGGGGCCCGCACAAGCGUGGGAGCAUGUGGGUUUAAUUCCGAAGCAACGCGAAGAACC
Molecule: ribosomal RNA, 931 nt
Filed under: Lactobacillus sp. VRE124aB15_13_2E
Lineage: Bacteria; Bacillati; Bacillota; Bacilli; Lactobacillales; Lactobacillaceae
Description: bacterial SSU rRNA
Rfam family: Bacterial small subunit ribosomal RNA
Source: RNAcentral